RNAcentral lists this ribosomal RNA (847 nucleotides) under Plasmodium ovale wallikeri. RNAcentral's name for it is "SSU rRNA". It matches the Rfam family "Eukaryotic small subunit ribosomal RNA", at positions 127 to 919 of the family's 1831-position model. Lineage: Eukaryota; Apicomplexa; Aconoidasida; Haemosporida; Plasmodiidae. The record is from RNAcentral.
UUCUGUUUGGUAGAGUAUAUAUGCUCUAAAAACGCGUGUGACUCUUUUUGUGUCUUAUGUAUGUACUUGUUAAGCCUUUAAGAGAGAAAGUUUACACCUUAUGGAGUUAUAUCACAGAGGUGACACAUAUUAUGUUUACCUUAUUUAGUGUGUAUCACUCGAGUUUCUGACCUCUCAGCUUUUGAUGUUAGGGUAUUGUCCUCUCAUGGCUAUGACGGGUGACGGGGAAUUAGAGUUCGAUUCCGGAGAGGGAGCCUGUGAGAUAGCUACCACAUCUAUGGAGGGCAGCAGGCGCGUAAAUUACCCACUUCUAAAGAGGAGAGGUGGUGACACGAAAUAUCACUACACGGCCAUUUCAUGGUUUUGUAAUUGGAAUGAUGGGAAUUUAAAACCUUCCCAAAAUUCACAUUGGAGGGCAAGUGUGGUGCCAGCAGCCGCGGUAAUUCCAGCUCCGACUAGCGUAUAUUAAAAUUGUUGCAGUUAAAACGCUCGUAGUUGAAUUUCAAAGAGUCAAUAUUUUAACUAAUGCUUUUGGUUUAAGAUGCUUAGGCAAUACAACGUAUCUGCUCUUUGCAUUCAUUAUCCAAAAUGUGUUCUUAUUAUAAAAAGGAUUCUUUUUAAAAUCUCCUUUACUUUUUCUUGUGCAGAAGAGAUUUUGUUACUUUGAGUAUAUUAGAGUGUUCAAAGCACACUGUUAGAGCAUUUUACAGUGCGUUUGAAUACUACCAGCGCGUGGUAUAACAAAAUUGCACGUGUCAUAACUCUGUUUCUUUUUCUUAUUUUGGCUUAGUUAAUAUUAAAAAGAAUAGCGUGGGGGCUUUGUACUCAUAUGUCAGACGAGAAAAAA